Molecule: ribosomal RNA, 253 nt
Filed under: uncultured bacterium
Lineage: Bacteria
Description: partial 16S ribosomal RNA
Rfam family: Bacterial small subunit ribosomal RNA
Source: RNAcentral
UACAGAGACUGCAAGCGUUAUUCGGAUUCACUGGGCGUAAAGGGUGCGCAGGCGGCCAAGUGUGUUAGGCGUGAAAGCCCGGGGCUUAACCCCGGAAUUGCACCUAAAACUACAUGGCUAGAGCAUUGGAGAGGGUAGCGGAAUUCACGGUGUAGCAGUGAAAUGCGUAGAUAUCGUGAGGAACACCAGAGGCGAAGGCGGCUACCUGGACAAUUGCUGACGCUCAGGCACGAAAGCGUGGGGAGCAAGAGGG